This 460-nucleotide ribosomal RNA is filed under the name uncultured bacterium. Its description in RNAcentral is "partial 16S ribosomal RNA". It matches the Rfam family "Bacterial small subunit ribosomal RNA", at positions 338 to 795 of the family's 1533-position model. The record is from RNAcentral.
CCUACGGGUGGCAGCAGUGAGGAAUAUUGCUCAAUGGCCGAGAGGCUGAACCAGCCAAGUCGCGUGAGGGAAGACGGCCCUACGGGUUGUAAACCCCUUUUGUCGGGGAAUAAAUGUAUCCACGUGUGGAUAUUUGCAUGUACCCUAUGAAUAAGCAUCGGCUAACUCCGUGCCAGCAGCCGCGGUAAUACGGAGGAUGCGUGCGUUAUCCGGAUUUAUUGGGUUUAAGGGGUGCGUAGGUUGUUUGUUAGGUCAGCUGUGAAAGUUUGUGGCUCAACCAUAAAAUUGCCGUUGAAACUGGAAGACUUGAGUGUGGGUGAGGGAGGCGGAAUGCGUGGUGUAGCGGUGAAAUGCAUAGAUAUCACGCAGAACUCCGAUUGCGAAGGCAGCUUACUAAGCCAUAACUGACACUGAAGCACGAAAGCGUGGGGAUCAAACAGGAUUAGAUACCCCUGUAGUC